RNAcentral lists this ribosomal RNA (374 nucleotides) under uncultured organism. RNAcentral describes it as "partial 16S ribosomal RNA". It matches the Rfam family "Bacterial small subunit ribosomal RNA", at positions 527 to 896 of the family's 1533-position model. The record is from RNAcentral.
GUAGGUGGCAAGCGUUGUCCGGAAUUAUUGGGCGUAAAGCGCGCGCAGGCGGUCCUUUAAGUCUGAUGUGAAAGCCCACGGCUCAACCGUGGAGGGUCAUUGGAAACUGGGGGACUUGAGUACAGAAGAGGAAAGCGGAAUUCCAAGUGUAGCGGUGAAAUGCGUAGAGAUUUGGAGGAACACCAGUGGCGAAGGCGGCUUUCUGGUCUGUAACUGACGCUGAGGCGCGAAAGCGUGGGGAGCAAACAGGAUUAGAUACCCUGGUAGUCCACGCCGUAAACGAUGAGUGCUAAGUGUUAGGGGGUUUCCCGCCCCCCUUAGUGCUGCAGCUAACGCAUUAAGCACUCCGCCUGGGGGGUACGGCCGCAAGGCUG